GAUGAACGCUAGCGGCAGGCCUAAUACAUGCAAGCCGGACGGCAAGUUGAGUAGCAAUACUUGACCUAGAGUGGCGUAAGGGUGCGUAACACGUAUGCAAUCUGCCCACAGCCGGGGAGAUAGCCCUCCGAAAGGAGGAUUAAUAUCCCAUAGGAAGAUGAGAUGGCAUCAUUUUAUUUUUAAACUACGGGGCUGUGGAUGAGCAUGCGGUUGAUUAGCUAGUUGGCGGGGUAAAGGCCCACCAAGGCGAUGAUCAAUAGGGGACCUGAGAGGGUGAUCCCCACACUGGCACUGAGAUACGGGCCAGGACUCCUACGGGAGGCAGCAGUAGGGAAUAUUGGACAAUGGGUGUAAGCCUGAUCCAGCCAUGCCGCGUGCAGGAAGAAGGCCCUUCUGGGUUGUAAACUGCUUUUGCCAGGGGAUAAAAUUUCCAUGCGUGGAAAACUGAAGGUACCUGGUGAAUAAGCCACGGCUAAACUACGUGCCAGCAGCCGCGGUAU
RNAcentral lists this ribosomal RNA (500 nucleotides) under uncultured bacterium. Its description in RNAcentral is "bacterial SSU rRNA". It matches the Rfam family "Bacterial small subunit ribosomal RNA", at positions 28 to 523 of the family's 1533-position model. The record is from RNAcentral.